AUCACUUCUCAGCUUUUUGGCUAAGAUAAUGUUAGUAUCUGUUGUUAUCAUUUUAAUACCUGAUACAUUCUCUAUUCGAGUACAAUAUAGUAAAUGGAUUUUUGGAACAGAGAGAUGGAAAGGAGCUUUCUCCAUAUCCACGUCACGCAUCAACCUUGUAUUGUACUAUCUCCAGGAAUGGUGCGCAUCCU
Lontra canadensis (Northern American river otter) is the source of this 191-nucleotide small nuclear RNA. RefSeq annotates it as U2 spliceosomal RNA. The transcript has a single exon. The record is from RefSeq and is a predicted model, not a curated record. NCBI's taxonomy places the organism in Eukaryota, Metazoa, Chordata, Mammalia, Carnivora, Mustelidae.